Molecule: long non-coding RNA, 605 nt
Filed under: Mus musculus (house mouse)
Lineage: Eukaryota; Metazoa; Chordata; Mammalia; Rodentia; Muridae
Description: predicted gene 12111, transcript variant 3 (Gm12111)
Source: RNAcentral
GGGAGGCACCCAAGGAAUCCUCUAGGGGAGUGGGGGUGGGCUGCAUCUUGCCCUUCCAAGAGCUUGCGGUGGCUGGGGCUGCGCUGGGGGUGCCGAAAGGUGGCCGUGUGGUGGCUGUGGAAGAAAAAAAGGCAGAAGCCACAGCUGGCCCCUGGGAACCGAAGAUGGUAGAAUGCCAGGCAUGCAUCAGAGGACCAGCUGAGACCUUUGCAAUCCUGAAAGACUUAAGUGAAGAUGACUACUUGGUUCACAUUGGCUAAAAGAGCCCUUUAAGUCUUCUGUCUUCAGGUCUAGCUUUUGCCUGCUUCGAGGACUCUUCCUGUUCUGCUACUGGCAGGUUGGACCAGAGGCUCAGCAGCUCUCUGAAGCUCCAGUAACAGGCGCCACCUCCAGCAGCUGAGAAAGCACAGGACGUCUUCCUGACACCACAGUGAACCACAUGGAAAAGCCAUUCGGCGGCUCCCAGCCCUCACCCUGCCCCCUGGCACACACGUGUGGCAGGCCAUGGCUCCAGAAACAGGCCUUCCCAGAGCAAAAAUGUAUGUGACAUAUGCAAAACAUCUUGCUCUCAACUGAAGGCUAUAAAGUAAAUGCAUUUGAAAUGG